CAAUAGCGUAUAUUAAAGUUGUUGCAGUUAAAAAGCUCGUAGUUGGAUUUGUGGUGUACUUCGGCGACCCGUCACUAUGUGAUGGAGCUUGCUGAAGUCGCCAUCCUUGGGUGGAUCCUGUGUGGCAUUAAGUUGUCGUGCAGGGGAUGCCCAUCGUUUACUGUGAAAAAAUUAGAGUGUUCAAAGCAGGCUUAUGCCGUUGAAUAUAUUAGCAUGGAAUAAUAAGAUAGGACCUUGGUACUAUUUUGUUGGUUUGCGCACCAAGGUAAUGAUUAAUAGGGACAGUUGGGGGUAUUCGUAUUUCAUUGUCAGAGGUGAAAUUCUUGGAUUUUUGAAAGACGAACUACUGCGAAAGCAUUUACCAAGGAUGUUUNCAUUA
This 379-nucleotide ribosomal RNA is filed under the name uncultured eukaryote. RNAcentral describes it as "partial 18S ribosomal RNA". It matches the Rfam family "Eukaryotic small subunit ribosomal RNA", at positions 592 to 975 of the family's 1831-position model. The record is from RNAcentral.